UGAGGAAUAUUGGUCAAUGGGCGCGAGCCUGAACCAGCCAAGUCGCGUGAGGGAUGACGGCCCUACGGGUUGUAAACCUCUUUUGUCGGGGAGCAAAUUCCGUUACGUGUAACGGAGUCGAGAGUACCUGAAGAAAAAGCAUCGGCUAACUCCGUGCC
RNAcentral lists this ribosomal RNA (158 nucleotides) under uncultured bacterium. RNAcentral's name for it is "partial 16S ribosomal RNA". It matches the Rfam family "Bacterial small subunit ribosomal RNA", at positions 355 to 509 of the family's 1533-position model. The record is from RNAcentral.